GAAUGGGUCAGUGUGUGCGGCAUAAAAAAAAUCCUGCAGCACACAGUGCAUAAUGAGAAAAAAAAAAAAUUUUGACCGUGUUUUUGGAUUAAAACAGCGACUUUGCACUGUAUUUUCGUAUGGUAUUUAUUGUUGUAUUCUAGUCUUCCUGGUCUCAUUUUAUAGAAUUGAAGACAUGUUACAGAAAUUGAGAUGAUUUUGACUGGUUUUACAAUGAAAAGUACCUUGAAAUUGCGCUCAAAGUAGCAGAAAUGUUCAAUUUUUACCAAAGUUCAAAAGUAAACAAAUCAUGCUAUGCGUCCAAUACACGUCAACUGGUGAGUCUAAUAUUCUUUCACAAGUGCGCUGAUAAUAUUUAUACCAUUUCUACACCAAUGCAGUAGUCUGCAUAACAGUGGAAAGCAAAAGAAUGUAAGAGGGGCAUGGGGACAUGACUAAUGAACAGAGGAAGUGUUAUUUUAGUGCCAGGAAUGUCUUUCUUGUUUAUUCUGGACCCUAUUCGGAAAUUGGCAUCUUUUGAAAUUUGUGUGAAAUUGGCAAAAUUGCUAAAUUCUGACCACUGUAUUGGAUAGUCGAAAUCAGUAAAUGGGUGGUUUCUUGUACUCAUUCAAUAGAAAAAAUGGAGUUCUAGUGAAAUAGUUAUGAUUUUUGUCGACAAGUACACUGGAAUUGGCCGAAAAUAGGGCUCAAAGUUGGCAAAAUCGCCGAUGCGUAAACAUCGUCGAGACCGCUAACUUCACGAGAGCAUAAUUCCGUAAGUUUUCCAUCAAAUUUCAUAUUUUUGGUGUCAUUAUGAUCGGGAAAAGAUUCUCUAUCUUUUCAUAAGAAGAAUUUUUUUUUUUUUUUUUUUUUUGAAAUUUGGCCGACCCUGAGAACAAAUCACUGAGAGGGCCUGUCAACCCUGAAAGGGUUAAUGGCUGGUAUGUUGAAUAGAGAUGAGAUUGUUUUGUUUUCGUAACAAGAACUACAAUUCUGUGACUGACAUCUGUCGUUUCCAAAUUAAUUGACCCAGCUGAUGUUGUCUUGUAUUUCUUCAGUUCACUAAAUUAUGUUGGUUAAAUUGAUAAUUUACUGUAAUCUACAAUUUACUUCAAGGUGUUGGUAUUUUUUCUCUAGUAAAAAAAAUCAGUAUAUUAGUAGUGUGUUGCUACCUCGCUCAUUAUAAUAGUUACAUAGUGGGAACAAAAGCUGGCUACUUGUUUUCUUGUCAUAUUCCAUUACCUCUGAUUUGUACAUCAGCUAAUGAAAUCUUUAAGUAUUGCAGUAAUAGGAAGAGGGAGGGCAGAGAAAGGGAAUAAUAGGAGAAUGAGGGUUAAAGAGUGGCCUUUUAAGAUUGUUUUAAUACAAAAAUUUGUAUAACUGUAAAGACUUCAUAUACUUCCCUAAAGCAGUAGAGAUGUGUCUAGUCAUUCUUGCUUAUUAAUUUUUUUUCCUUUCAGCCCUUUGUGGGAAAUGGUCCAAGAAGGAAUAGAUCUAAAAAGCAUUCAGUGGUCACAGCAUUAAAACUGGUUAGAGAGAAAAAUCCAAAUUUGAGAGGGAGUCAUAAACUUGCACACUGCAUUAAUAAUUUACUGAAGCAAGACACGGAAGAAAGUAGUAUAAUGUUGGCCCAGUAAUAAGCAGGGAAGCCAUGGGCACAAUAAGAGAACACAGUGUCAACAACCAUUAACCUCGUCUGUUCAGCCAGCUGCCACUGGAUAUCAGAAACAUUGCCAGAAUAAGUGUGGAAGUAUUCAAGAGGAGUGUGAAUCACUAUCAGUACCAUGUGCCAGAUCGCUUAGACUAUGAUAGAUGUGAGCCAUUGAGUCACCAAUAGAAAUCAACAAGGGAAGUUGGGUUGAGAGAGUAAGAAAACUCAUGGAACUGGUCGAAGGUAAAUUGCAGAUUUAAAAACAACUUGCCAGAUUCUGCAUAUAAAAUUUAUAUGCAUUUUUUAUUUCUAGAUAGGGAAACAUUCACAGUUUUGUUGUUAGAACUGUCUUGAUGUGAUGUUACUCCAACCCUACCACCCCUCAAGGGAGGUUCCUUGAAGUUAGUGAGGGGCUCUUGUUCUAGGAAAUUGGAUCUGUGCUCUGGUUCCCUGAAUUGAGCUGGAAUACCUUCCAUUUCCCCCCUCCCCACGUGCUGUAUGAUCCUAUGGGUUUACUGCUUCCCAUGAUUAUAAUAAUUAUAUCUAAUGCUACCUGUCCACUAAAGGUUGAAUGUAAAGAGGUAAAAAAAGUUUAUUGUUUCCUUCAUAAUUGGGGGACGUGAGCUAGGUAUGUAGACAGAACGGGUCAAGCCUUUGCCGAGACUAGGCUGCAAUCCUCUUGAUCCAUUAACCCUUUCAGGGUCCAUGCCAUAGUUCUACGGCUUUAUGUUGAGGGUCCAGACUGUAGAUCUACGCCAAAAUUCUAGCGGUGUCAAAUAGCGCAAGAAGGCUGGUAGGCCUACAUCUGAGAGAAUGGGCCUGGGUGGUCAGUGUGUGCACUAUAGAAAAAAUCUGGAUGCCUGCAUGGCAUUGUGGGAAUGCCGCCAAAGUGCUUUGUUCAUCAUGCCUGGCAGCAAGGAAGCUCUCACUCCCCACUCACUCUCCUGGCGAAUUCUGACUCUCCUCUUCACAACUUACAGUUCUAAGACUGAUGGAAGUGGAUCUGAAGAGGAAUUCCAUGGUUUUGAACCAUAUGGUACAAUGGUGCCAUGUCAUACAAUGGUAUCAUAUGGUACCAUGGUAACACAUGGUACAAUGUACCAUAUAGUACAUUGUAUCAUAUGGUACAUUAUACCAUAUGGUACAUUAUACCAUAUAGUACAAUGUACCAUAUGGUAUAAUUGUACAUUGUACCAUAUGGUACAUUGUACCAUAUAAUUGUACAUUGUACCAUAUGGUACAGGGACCCUAAUGGAAAUAAGUCUGUCUGACUUUUUUUGGUUCUCCAAACAUAUGCUGCUAUGUAUGAUAAUCUAUGUAACUUUAUUUGUGUAUACAUAAAUAAACUUAUGAUGCCACAUGUGCUUGAGUAAGUUUAUUCAGGUGUACACAAAUACAGUUACAUACAUUAUCAUACAUACCAGCAUAUGUAUAAAAUCCUAGGAUAACUCAAAAAAGUCAGGGUGACUUAUUUCCAUAGGGAUCCCUGUGUCUGUAUCAUAUUGUGUCCUGUACCAUAUGGUACCCUGCACCAUAUGGUACCCUGCACUAUAUGGUACCCUGCACCAUAUGGUAUCCUGUACUGUAUAGUACCCUAUACCAUAUAGUACAAUGUACCAUAUGGUACCCUGUAACAUAUAAUACCAUGUACCAUAUGGUCAGUUACAGAUGUUGCUGCCACCAGGCAAGACUGAGUGAGUGAUGACGCGCAGUUUCCAAGACAAGCGCUUUGUCAUCCACCUCAAGAAACAUGUCGAGUGGCUGUACAUUUGUAAAUAUAGUAUAAUAGAACAUUACUAAUAUACAACAUUUUUGCAUAUUUUUGUUGUAAACAAUUAUUGUAAACGAAAUAAUGAUGAAAAUAUUAGUGUGUUUAUUGUGCUGAAUACAACAGUACCAUAUGGUACAAUGUACCAUAUGGUACAAUGAACCAUAUGGUAUCAUUGUACCAUGUGGUACCAUUGCACCAUAUGGUACUAUUUCACUAUAUGGUACCAUAAAGUACCAUUGCACCAUAUGAUACCAUUGUAUCAUAUGGUACCAUUGCAGCCUAUGGCACCAUUGUACCAUAUAGUACUAUAUGGUACCAUUGUAUUCAACACAAUAACCGCACUAAUAUUUUCAUCAUUUUGUUUACAAUAAACUUGUAAACAAGUUUUGUAAGUAAUAUAAUGAUAAACAAAUUAGUGCAGUUAUUGUGUUGAAUACAAUGAGUGUACACUUAUACAAUAUACAUUAAAUUGGUCUCACAGACCACAAAUGUUACUAGAAAAAGAAAAAAUUAGAAAGAAAAGAAAAAAGUAUAAAAAAAAACGUAAAAUAAAAAAAUGCGAUUUUGCGGAAGUCGCUGAUGUUGCUGCCACUCGGUCAUUUUGGGUCAACUUCCUGCCACUGUAUCUCGGUAAGUAUUGAUCAGAAUUUUUUUUUUUUUGUUUUAUUACCUUCACAAAAAUAUUAUCUUUAAUUCUGUAAUAAAAAAAUAAUUUUUUCUUUUUUCAAAAUUUCUUGGACACUGGGGCACCCCCUUCAGAUUUUGGCCUUGGACCCUGAAAGGGUUAACAAGCUCAGGUCAUAAUGGGAUUAAAUGAAAUGUUUCCUUUUUAAGACCAGUAUUUUUUUGUAAGGUAUCUGUCCAUAAUGAGCAUUUCUUUAAAAGACCAACCCAGUUCAUUUCUUCAGAAUGAUUACAUUAGUAUUCUUUUUUAACACAACGGCCAUCUCCUACCAAAGUAGAGUGACCCGAAGAAGAAGAAGCACUUUCGCCACCACCACUCACUCCAUCACUGUCUUGCCAGAGGCACACCGACAUUACAGCUCGGAGACCCCUCCAAACUGCAAUAACCCUACCCCUCCUUCAGAGUGCAGGCACUGUACUUCCAACUCCAGUUAACCAGAUUCCCUCAAUUCCUUCAUAAAUGUUACUUUGCUCAGACUCCACCAGCACAUCGUCAUAAAACCAAUGGCCUCCACUCCUAUACUCUUGCACAUGCCUGUUGGAUGUCCAAAUCCCUUGCAUAUAAACCUUUAAUCCAUCCUCUAACCUUUCCUAAGUUUAUCUCGACUCCUCCCCUCCACUACAGAUUUAUACACCCUCCAACUCGUCUUAUUUUACUCCAUCUUUUCUAAAGUCCAAACCACCUUAAUAACCCCUCCUUGGCCCUUUUAGUAACUCUGACCCUCCAAAUCUCCAAACUAUGAUUUUUUUUUUUUAAUGCAUAAUAUUCACACGACACAUUGCCCUCAGACAUCGUCACUCCAGUCUCCUUGCUGUAAUAUUUAAAACUCAUAACUCUCACCCAUAUAAGAAUGUUAUUGUACUUUGAUACAUUUCUAUUUUUGCCUCCAUAGAUAACAUUCAUUGUUUCCACAGAUGCCUCGGUGCAUCAACCCCCUUUUUAUGCCUCUGUGGUUCACCUCAUCUUUCAUAGG
Non-coding RNA from Cherax quadricarinatus, 5059 nucleotides. The record is from RefSeq and is a predicted model, not a curated record. NCBI's taxonomy places the organism in Eukaryota, Metazoa, Arthropoda, Malacostraca, Decapoda, Parastacidae.